AAAGUACUUUCAGCGGGGAGGAAGGGAGUAAAGUUAAUACCUUUGCUCAUUGACGUUACCCGCAGAAGAAGCACCGGCUAACUCCGUGCCAGCAGCCGCGGUAAUACGGAGGGUGCAAGCGUUAAUCGGAAUUACUGGGCGUAAAGCGCACGCAGGCGGUUUGUUAAGUCAGAUGUGAAAUCCCCGGGCUCAACCUGGGAACUGCAUCUGAUACUGGCAAGCUUGAGUCUCGUAGAGGGGGGUAGAAUUCCAGGUGUAGCGGUGAAAUGCGUAGAGAUCUGGAGGAAUACCGGUGGCGAAGGCGGCCCCCUGGACGAAGA
RNAcentral lists this ribosomal RNA (320 nucleotides) under Nocardioides malaquae. Its description in RNAcentral is "bacterial SSU rRNA". It matches the Rfam family "Bacterial small subunit ribosomal RNA", at positions 427 to 739 of the family's 1533-position model. The record is from RNAcentral. Lineage: Bacteria; Bacillati; Actinomycetota; Actinomycetes; Propionibacteriales; Nocardioidaceae.